GCCGUGGCUCAGUGGUAGAGCAUCUGUUUGGCAUGGAGAAGGUCUUAGGUUCCAUCCCUGGUGUCUCCA
RNAcentral lists this transfer RNA (69 nucleotides) under Sphaerodactylus townsendi. RNAcentral's name for it is "tRNA-Ala". It matches the Rfam family "tRNA". From Rfam's summary of the family: Transfer RNA (tRNA) molecules are approximately 80 nucleotides in length. The record is from RNAcentral. Lineage: Eukaryota; Metazoa; Chordata; Lepidosauria; Squamata; Sphaerodactylidae.